CAGAGCUUGCUCUGGCUGACGAGUGGCGGACGGGUGAGUAACGCGUGGGAAUCUACCUUAUAGUGGGGGAUAGCCCGGAGAAAUCCGGAUUAAUACCGCAUAAUCUCUACGGAGCAAAGUGGGGGAUCUUCGGACCUCACGCUAUUAGAUGAGCCCGCGUUAGAUUAGCUUGUUGGUGGGGUAAUGGCUCACCAAGGCGACGAUCUAUAGCUGGUUUGAGAGGAUGAUCAGCCACACUGGGACUGAGACACGGCCCAGACUCC
Molecule: ribosomal RNA, 263 nt
Filed under: uncultured bacterium
Lineage: Bacteria
Description: partial 16S ribosomal RNA
Rfam family: Bacterial small subunit ribosomal RNA
Source: RNAcentral